AGGAGGAUUAACAUCGCCGCAUGCCUCACCUUACUCGUUCAAUCACGCUCCAGUCUGAAUCCAGGCUAUACAAGGGGAUGAAGCACAGAUCGGUCCUCUUUGACGUCCGAGACCUCGGCAAGAUGGACGACCGAGAUCUCAUGCCGCCGC
Amphibalanus amphitrite is the source of this 150-nucleotide long non-coding RNA. RefSeq lists it as uncharacterized. The transcript is spliced from 3 exons. NCBI's taxonomy places the organism in Eukaryota, Metazoa, Arthropoda, Thecostraca, Balanomorpha, Balanidae. The record is from RefSeq and is a predicted model, not a curated record.